Molecule: ribosomal RNA, 242 nt
Filed under: uncultured bacterium
Lineage: Bacteria
Description: partial 16S ribosomal RNA
Rfam family: Bacterial small subunit ribosomal RNA
Source: RNAcentral
UACGUAGGGUCCGAGCGUUGUCCGGAAUUACUGGGCGUAAAGGGCGCGUAGGCGGACAGUUUAGUCAGAGGUGAAAGCCCGGGGCUCAACUCCGGAAUUGCCUUUAAGACUGCAUCGCUAGAAUUGUGGAGAGGUAAGUGGAAUUCCGAGUGUAGAGGUGAAAUUCGUAGAUAUUCGGAAGAACACCGGUGGCGAAGGCGGCUCUCUGGACCGAUACUGACGCUGAGGCGCGAAAGCGUGGG